ACCGCUUUCCCCGUAACCAGGGAGACUGCAGUUUGCAGUGAUGUGGCUAAGAUACCCUUGUGCUAUUAAAGGCACAUUUACGUAUCUUUCAACGCAGUUUGUACCUUUGUUUAGGGUUCUAUUGAACUUUCUCUGUGCUCUUUAGAAAACCGUCGAAUAAAGGGAGGUCAUGGACCAAGUACAAAGCGGCAAAAGGAUGGAAUUAAGGGAUAUUUCCAGUGAAAGAAAGAAGAAAGCAUGCUUUUCUCUUGACUGUGCAGAAAAAAAAACUAUGUUUCUUUGAUUCUCCAUUUUACUAGAUGCCAUACCUUUGCAAUUACUUCAUGUGGAGUCUUGACCAAGAUUCAGGAAAUACUAGAACUUUCAGUCCCAGAAGGUUACUCUGGGCAUUACUAGUCCCCAUCAUUAUGAGUUGAGUUUUACUAGUUAAUUUCAGACGAAAAAUAUUUGUUUUUCCCCAAAUUCUGGGGUUACGUACUUUUACUACCUAUGAACUGACAACUGUAUCUUCAGUAAUUACAAUUUCCAACAAAAUGUUAUAGGAAUAAAGAAAAGAUGUUAGUUCAUUAUUCAGAGUUUAUGUUUAUUCCUUUAAUAAAAAGAAAU
This 606-nucleotide long non-coding RNA is filed under the name Homo sapiens (human). RNAcentral's name for it is "non-protein coding lnc-ATP10D-4:1". Lineage: Eukaryota; Metazoa; Chordata; Mammalia; Primates; Hominidae. The record is from RNAcentral.